AUUUACAAGGCUCUUGACUGGAGUCUGCCUGAUGAUGAAGAAAGGGUUCUCAGCCUGUCUUUGGAACAGUUGAUAGAGCAGAUGGUGGUGAGGUCAGAGGAUCAGCCUGCUGUCACGAUUGAUGAAAUUAUGAAGAUGUGCAAUAAUCACCUACAAGACCCCUCUACAGUAUCGGUCUUCCAAGCCGUGAACAGGGCUCUGUUUGCAGAGACUGUGGAACUGCGCAGAUACUGGAGCAGUAUCAGAAGUGCAAGGAAGAAGCCGCCUGCCCUGCCGAGCUCCUCCACCAUACGUAUGGCAUGAAUGCCAUUUGCCUAUCAAGUACUGUUGACUUUUGUUACGUCCUUCAAUGUCUGGAGAACUUGAGUCACUCAGCCAUGAUUAGAGAAUGCUCCAAUUCUGGCAUUGAUGGAAGCUCAUUGAAUCGGGGAAUGCAGAUAGAGAGAGGACACAGUCCUGAGCAACAGUAACAUCCUGGGACAGC
This is a long non-coding RNA of Hypanus sabinus (Atlantic stingray), 484 nucleotides long. RefSeq lists it as uncharacterized. The record is from RefSeq and is a predicted model, not a curated record. Lineage: Eukaryota; Metazoa; Chordata; Chondrichthyes; Myliobatiformes; Dasyatidae. The transcript has 3 exons.